UACGGGAGGCAGCAGUGGGGAAUAUUGCACAAUGGGCGAAAGCCUGAUGCAGCUAUGCCGCGUGUAUGAAGAAGGCCUUAGGGUUGUAAAGUACUUUUCAUCGGGGAGGAAAAACAAAACUAAUAAUUUUAUUUCUUGACGUUACCCGAAAAAGAAGCACCGGCUAACUCCGUGCCAGCAGCCGCGGUAAUACGGAGGGUGCUAGCGUUAAUCAGAAUUACUGGGCGUAAAGAGCACGUAGGUGGUUUUUUAAGUCAGAUGUGAAAUCCCUGGGCUUAACCUAGGAACUGCAUUUUGAAACUGAAAUACUAGAGUAUCGUAGAGGGAGGUAGAAUUCUAGGUGUAGCGGUGAAAUGCGUAGAUAUCUGGAGGAAUACCUGUGGCGAAAGCGGCCUCCUAAACGAAUACUGACACUGAGGUGCGAAAGCGUGGGGAGCAAACAGGGAUUAGAUACC
Molecule: ribosomal RNA, 455 nt
Filed under: uncultured bacterium
Lineage: Bacteria
Description: bacterial SSU rRNA
Rfam family: Bacterial small subunit ribosomal RNA
Source: RNAcentral